AUGACCAGCCCCCACCUAGGUCUCGGCCUCGCGCCGUCGCCCGCUGACCCUUCCGCCGCGCCGCCGUCCCGCCGAGCCCCUCGGCUGGCCAAGCGCCGACACGCGGCCACCACCUCCCGCUCUCGCGCGCAACCGUCGCCCUCGACCUCGACCUCGGCGCCGUGGAAUCCAUUCCUCGGCGGCGGUACGGAUGCAUCGGGGCAGGACGGAAGUGGCGGGUCGGGGAGUGUGGCUGGUGGCGGUGGUUACGAAUUCGGGAAGGGCCAGAAGGUGGGCAAUGUGUUUGGACCUGCUCCAACAGCGAGGCAGUCGCCGCCGGCGUCAUCCAAUGAAGCUCCCUUCGUGUUUGGGAGCGUGAGGGACAGCCUGCCACGGUUUGAUGUGGGCUCAUCAGCUGCUUCGAAGCUGGACCAUAAGAUGGGGAAGCUGAACCUGCAGAGUCCAGGUAAAUGCAGCGUUGGUGCUGGUAAGGGGGUGGAUCAAACCGAGAAGAGCUUUGUCUUUGGUGCUACUAUACCUAGUUCGGUUUGCAGCAGCGAGGCCAAUGUGCUCCCGGAAAAGCUGACACAGUUGAAUAUAGGAACCGAAGUGCCAUUACAGAAUGAGGAUGCUAAAGUUGGGCCAAAAACGUUUGUGUUUGGAAGUAAUGGGGCUGGGAGUUUUGCUGAUAGUAGGAGCACUGCUUCCUCUUGUGCCGAUUCAUAUGCUUCCAGUUCAGUUCAGGUUACCAAGGCAAAUGGUACACCGGAAAGUGGCCAUGCUGAAAGCACCAAUGCUGCUGCUGCAGAUUAUCGUGCUCAUGAUGCAAGUGUUCUUCAGGAGAAGAUAACACAGUUGAAUAUAGGAAGUGGCACGUUUCAGUACAUGAAAGAUGGAGGUAGUGGUAGUCGUCAAACUGAAGUGCUUGGCUUUGGGGAUGGCCGAACUGCAGGUACUAUAUUUGGCAACGCUUCAAGCAAUACUUCAGACAAGGGCAGUAUAUUUUUCUCCUUUGGGAAUAGCAAUGCUUCUAUCUCUGCCAAUGGUGCUGCCAAUGUACCUCCAGAGAGGGCAUCAAAUUUGAAUGUUGGAGGUGGAGUUACACAGAGCAUGAAAAGUGAUGAUACAAAUUGUUCACCAGAGGCUUUUGUAUUUGGAAGAAAUGGAAGCACAUACUCUGCUUCAGAGCAGUCAGCAAGGGUUGUCAUGGAUGAUGGUGAUAAUAGUGGCAGUGGUGCAAGUACAAGCACUUGUACUUCAGCUCAUGGUACUAUGGGAAGCACACUUCCGGAGAAGAUGACAAAGUUAAAUAUAGAGCAGGUGAUCCCAUCUCAGAGCAUGAAGGAUGAAGCUGCUACUCGGCAACCAGAACCAUUUGUUUUUGGUAGUAAUGCAACUUCAAGUUUUUCUUCUUUGAAGAAGACCACAUCAUUCACAAGCUUUCAAACUAAUGUAUCCUCUGAAUCAAAGGGCAGCAGAAGAAACUUGGCUAAUGAUAGCAGUGGCAGCAGUGUAACUGCUCUAUCUGAAGGGGCUGCAGAACAUGCACUGCAAGAUGAAAUCAAGAAAUUAAACAUCAACAAGGAAGGACCUUCAGCUGGAAAUGUCAACGCAAAUGAUGCUUGUACUCCUAAAUUUUCCUUUCAGAGCAAAGCAGAAGCUGUGCCAGGAUAUUGUACCUUUCCUCAGCCCAAACUUCAGGAGUCAUGCCCGUUUGCUCCGUUGAAUCAUUCAUCUACUUUCUCUGCGUCUGCAAAUGCGAUGCCGUCUUUCAGUUCCAAUCCUCCAAAUGGAGGAAGCGAAAGUGCUCCUGGUGAAUCUUGUGCGGUCAAACAAGAUCCUGCUAGCUGCUCCAGAGAGAGCUUAUUUGGUAUAGACUAUAUAAAAUCAGCGUAUAGAGACAAAAAGGAAGCACAUAAAAGCACGAGGAAGAAGAAAAGACCAACUAGGCUAAAACAACAUGGUCAACUCCAUCAAGUUUCUCAAGAAACAUGCGCCAAUGGACUAGCUUCAGAUUUAACAGGUGACUAUUCACCAAUGGAUUGUUCUCCUUAUCAGGCAGCAGUUGAACAAGCGCCAAGAAAGGCAUCCGUGAGUUGUGAUCAGUCCACUGACAUUUGUGAUAGCAGUGUCCCAAAUCAGAAUACCACUUGUGCUGAAGAUGAUCUAGUUUCUGCAACUGAGCACUUGGUUAUUGAUGCAGAUCUUCAAACGUGUCAAGAUGAAGGCAGAGAUCCCAUUGCGGAUGCAUCUGAGAGUAAUUUUGGUAGCAACUUUUCUAGUUUCGAUGGAGAAAUAAAUUUCUGUGAUGCACCACAGCCCAUUUUCACUAAUAUGAAUGUUGAUGCAAAUGGUGAACCUAAAAUGUACACAACAGAAGCUUGGGUUGAUGGUUCUGGAUGUAAUGUUAGUGGGCCGACUUGCGAAGAGAACAACUCCAGAACACCACAUGAGUCUGGUGAACCUGUUAAUUAUAAAUCAAGCUCGGCAAAUUUGAGUGGGCUGAACUUCACCUUUGGUGCAUCACUGUAUCCUGAAAGUUCCUUACCGACAAAAAGACAUACUACAAAAAGGAAGUUAAGGACUAAGGUUGGUCAGGCGCCUAAGCCUUCAGCUACUCAGGCUUCUGUACAACCAAAAGGCUCACAAGACACAAAAAGCAUGCAGUUUUCUCCAGAAACAAGUACAACAGAAAAUUCAGUGAAAGAGCAGUUGAGGAGAGAUGCAUCAGUUUCGGCAGACUUGGAGACUUGUGAGACCUGGCGUACAAGUGGGAAUCAAGCCUAUGCAAAUGGUCACUUUGCUACUGCAGAGGGGUGUUAUACCCGUGGAAUAAAUUCGAUUUCCCAGUAUGGAACUUCUGGACGCUGUUCCCAUGCGUUGAUGCUGUGCUAUAGCAACCGCGCAGCUACUAGAAUGUCUCUGGGGAGAAUGAGAGAAGCUCUUCAAGAUUGUUCGAUCGCGACAUCUAUUGACCCCACCUUUCUUAAGGCUAAAGUUCGUGCUGCAAAUUGCCAACUUGCGCUUGGGGAUCUUGAAGGCGCAUCAAACAAUUACACAGCCUGUUUGAAAUCUAGUAACACUGCUUAUUCUGACACCAAAAUGUUUGCUGAGGCUUCUAAUGGUCUGGAAAGAGUCAAGGCAUUGGCAGACUAUAUAUCCCAGUCCAGGGAGCUUCUUAAGAAAAGAACAUUGCCUGAUGCAGAAACGGUUUUGGAUCUUAUCUCCAGUGCAUUGCACAUAAGUUCACACUCGGAUAACUUAAUGGAGAUGAAAGCAGAGGCACUGCUGACGCUACGAAGGUAUGAAGAAGUAAUUGAACUCUGUCAAGAAACAGCAGAUUUGGCUGCAAGAAAUUCUGUUUCAAUUAAUGCCAAUGGAGAGCCAAAUAUUUCUAGUGUGUCUGAAAAGGCAGAAUGCUCUGCAACACUUUGGCGACCAUACCUCAUUUGCAAGUCUUACUUCCUUCUAGGCAAGCUUGAAGAGUCUCUUGACUUGCUAAAGAGGCAUGAGCUGGCAACACCUGCCGAAGAGAGUGACGGGGGCACUAGAAAAUGUUUCUCAUCAUUGUCUACAAGUAUAAGGAAACUUCUUUCCUUCAAGGCUGCGGGGAAUGAAUCAUUUCAAGCUCGGAGAUAUUCGGAAGCUGUGGAACAGUAUUCAGCGGCUUUGGCAUACAAUAGUGAUUCACGGCCCUUUUCAGCUGUCUGCUUUUGCAACCGUGCAGCUGCAUAUCAAGCACUUGGUCAACUUACUGAUGCAAUUGCAGAUUGUUCACUAGCCAUGGUUCUCGACGAAAAUUAUCCCAAGGCAAUUUCCAGGCGGGCUACCUUAUAUGAGAUGAUAAGGGAUUAUGGACAGUCUGCUAAUGAUUUACGGAAGCUAAUCUCACUUCUUCAAAAGCAAGCCAAUAAUAAGCCUGGAGUAUCACCAAAAGUUUUCAACAAGCAUAGCGACCUGAAGCAGGCGCGUGCUCGACUUCUAUCUGCGGAGGAUGAAGCAAGAAAAGAUACUCCCUUGAAUUUUUAUUUAAUCUUGGGAGUUGAACCGUCCUGUUCUCCAGCAGAUGUUAAGAAGGCCUACCGAAAAGCUGCAUUGAGACACCACCCGGAUAAGGCCACUCAAUUGCUUGUAAGAAAUGAGAAUGCCGAUGAUGGGUUUUGGAGGGAUGUUGCGAAGGAGGUUUAUGCAGAUGCUGAUCAUCUCUUCAAAACGAUUGGAGAGGCAUAUAAUAUUCUUUCAGAUCCUCACAAGCGUGAAGAAUAUGAUAUUGAAGAGAAUCUAAGAAAUGCUAGCAGGAGAGCUUAUAAGGGGAGGAGUACACCGAGGUCGCCCGAACAGCACUACAGAAGACAUUAUGACGGGGGUUUCAACCCUCGACAUUGGCAAUCUGCGGGGCAAUCAAACAAAGGUGCACCACACUCGCGCUGGUCUGGAUAUGAAUAUUCGGAUGACUACUGGUAA
RNAcentral lists this ribosomal RNA (4443 nucleotides) under Triticum aestivum (bread wheat). Its description in RNAcentral is "partial small subunit ribosomal RNA". The record is from RNAcentral. Lineage: Eukaryota; Viridiplantae; Streptophyta; Magnoliopsida; Poales; Poaceae.